AAACGGGGCAGCCUGUGCCCCUUUCGGGGCAAUGAGAAGAACACAGGUGGUGCACUGGGUCUCGUUUGUUCACGCUUUCGUGUUCGUUGAAGAAUGUUGGGUUAUAAAGUUCCCGCACAAACGAGAGGCGGCACAACCCCUUAUCCCGUUAGUAUGCCAAGCAGGUAAAGGCUGGGCACUUCUAAGGGAGACUGGCCAGGGGAUAACCUCGGAAGGAAAGGUGGGGAUGACGUCAAAUCAUCAUGCCCCUUAUGAUCUGGGCUACACACGUGCUACAAUGGCGUAAACAAAGGGAAGCACACACCCGUCGAUGGUGCGAGCUAAUCCCUCCAAAAGCACGUCGCCAGUUCGGAUUGUAGUCUGCAACUCGACUACAUGAAGCUGGAAUCGCUAGUAAUCG
This 400-nucleotide ribosomal RNA is filed under the name uncultured bacterium. RNAcentral's name for it is "bacterial SSU rRNA". It matches the Rfam family "Bacterial small subunit ribosomal RNA", at positions 993 to 1344 of the family's 1533-position model. The record is from RNAcentral.